GACGAACGCUGGCGGCGUGCUUAACACAUGCCAGUCGAACGGAAAGGCCCUGCUUUUGUGGGGUGCUCGAGUGGCGAACGGGUGAGUAACACGUGAGUAACCUGCCCUUGACUUUGGGAUAACUUCAGGAAACUGGGGCUAAUACCGGAUAGGAGCUCCUGCUGCAUGGUGGGGGUUGGAAAGUUUCGGCGGUUGGGGAUGGACUCGCGGCUUAUCAGCUUGUUGGUGUGGUAGUGGCUUACCAAGGCUUUGACGGGUAGCCGGCCUGAGAGGGUGACCGGCCACAUUGGGACUGAGAUACGGCCCAGACUCCUACGGGAGGGAGCAGUGGGGAAUAUUGCACAAUGGGCGGAAGCCUGAUGCAGCAAAGCCGCGUGCGGGAUGACGGCCUUCGGGUUGUAAACCGCUUUCGCCUGUUACGAAGCGUGAGUGACGGUAAUGGGUAAAGAAGCACCGGCUAACUACGUG
This 468-nucleotide ribosomal RNA is filed under the name uncultured bacterium. RNAcentral describes it as "partial 16S ribosomal RNA". It matches the Rfam family "Bacterial small subunit ribosomal RNA", at positions 28 to 507 of the family's 1533-position model. The record is from RNAcentral.